Non-coding RNA from Aegilops tauschii subsp. strangulata, 2072 nucleotides. The record is from RefSeq and is a predicted model, not a curated record. NCBI's taxonomy places the organism in Eukaryota, Viridiplantae, Streptophyta, Magnoliopsida, Poales, Poaceae.
CGCCAUUACUAGUGCCGUGCGCCAUUGCUAACCCUUCCCCCACUAAAAAUUCUUCUAUCUUCCCAAUCUCUCUCACCCGACCCGCCCACCACGACCCGUACUGCGCCGCCGCCGCCUCCCCCGCUCCGACCCUCGCCCCGGCGGCGACGAGCCCUUCUGCCCCCACCAUCUCCGUCCUGUUCGAGGUGAGGCCCUCGCCCGGCCGCCCGGUCCUCCCCACCCCAAGGUCAGGGGCUCCGCCGUCAAGUUCCUCUCCCACCCCAAGGUCAGGGGCAAGCGGCUAGGGUUUCGCCCGCGUCGUCUCCCACCUCCCGUCCCCGCCCAGGCCGCCAUGUUCCAGCUAGGCUCCGCCCCCGGGAAGGGCUUCUGGGCGCGGCACCGGUGGAAGAUGCUCCUCUCGCUGGGCGUCGCCGGCGCCGGCUACAUGGCCUACCGCUUCUACGACGCGCACCAGAAGCAGCUCGUCCGGCUGGAGCAGCGCCGAGGAGGAGCGCGCCGCCGACGAGAUCAUCAAGAAUCAGUGAGCACAGAAAGCCAAACCACCACCAGAUUUGUUUUUCUUGUGUAUGUAUUGGUGGGUGAUGCAGGGUACCCUGUGAUGUGCUGCUUAUAGCAAUAUCGUCUUAGCGCUAGCAAACUACAGUAGUUCUGUGAUGCAGAGGAUCUCGGAUACAACCACUCUGCCAUUUGCUAUCCACUACCUACGUUCGCAGAUAAUGGAGGAGCUGGAUACUUCGCACCUGACCGAGAGGCUGCUGCAAGGGUGGAGCGGGCUGGACGACGCUGAAGUAGUCAUCUUCGUCGGCCCCGUCACUGCGUACGCAUACUCCUUCAAUUUUUCCCUCCUACUGUACGUAUGUACGAUAUUUUGGAAUGCAGCUCAAAGGAAUAGGAACGUUUCCCGCAAGAAAAAGGAAUAGGACUGUGCUCCUCCCAAAAGACAAAAGCAAGAACAAUAAAAAUCCAGCACCAACAAUGAAUCGCCGGAGUAAACAAAACAAGCAGACCAAAUCGUGUCGGCCCUCGAGGAAGGGUUGCACUGUCGAGGAGCAGCAGACAUGUAAAUCUGACUGCAAUUCAUGUCACGGUGGAUGGUUUGAGAGGAGGGAGGCAGAGCAGAGACAAACGGCGCAUUCUGUCAUGCAUGUGUGUGGAUUUGUAUCAUCCUACUACUGUGUUGCUUUGUUUUACUGUAAUAAAUAAAGAGAUGAAUCAGAUUUUCUUUGGUUCGUUAGCAAAAUUUUACACAUCAAGUAUUUGAUCUCAGAUCUUCUAUUUCGGUUUGGUAUAUGAGCCUUUUGCCCAUAGACUAACAUGUCCCUUAACCUGUCUACUUGGUGAUACUUUUCUGUAUCAGCAAGUAGUUACGGAUUGAACAACCAGUUACUGAUUAUGCCUCAUCUCAAUGCAUACUAACUUUCUAUGAGUACCUGGUUUGCUGCAGCCCUUUUUCCCAUAGACUAAUAUAUGCACUUUCUUUUAGAAUUGAGCAUACCCUGCUUGUCAUUAGCACUCUCGUUACAACAUCUACAUCUCUCUUUACACAAGAUUACCUGUUUCAUACUUUCCAGUAAUGAUCAUCCUCAUCCACCCAUACGUCGUCUAGACAAUUAUUAGAGCAUUUCUUUCACAACGUAAAGCAUCGGCAAAAAACAUCAAAAUAUAGCGUACUAACUUGGCGUUGGUUUCCUUAUCUACUGUUCCGUACAUAUACAACCAAUGUCUUUGAGUGACCUUUUUUUAUUAUCUGAUAUUGCAUACUUCGAUAUCGCCUGUUGAUAUGCCUUCGAAUGUAAACGUCUAACUACUUUAUCAUCCCCAACAUCCAGGGUGUGUAGACAGGACUGAUGUUGCUCAAAUGCGAGCAUAUGUGCCCGUGUUGAAGGAGUUUUGCCCUCUGUCUAUGACUCAAGUGUCAAUGAUGCCUCUCCAUAUUAUCGCUACCAUGUCUUAUUUGUUUUGGUUGCUCAGCAAAUGUUUUGCUGUACAAGAAUUAGACGACACUGGACCUGUAUAAUUAUGGGCUACUCAUGCAGUUUAUUAUUUAAGUUUCGAAUGAUGUUAUCUGUUUC